Molecule: transfer RNA, 74 nt
Filed under: Treponema sp.
Lineage: Bacteria; Pseudomonadati; Spirochaetota; Spirochaetia; Treponematales; Treponemataceae
Also listed under: 1 other name
Description: tRNA-Met
Rfam family: tRNA
About the family: Transfer RNA (tRNA) molecules are approximately 80 nucleotides in length. Their secondary structure includes four short double-helical elements and three loops (D, anti-codon, and T loops).
Source: RNAcentral
UGCGGAGUGUUAGCAGUAGUUAGCUUGUCUGGCUCAUAACCAGAAGGUCGGAGGUGCAAAUCCUCCCUCCGCAA